GGCGCUAUAGCCAAGUGGUUACGGCGACAGAUUCGAAUCCCACGUUAUCUGUUCCUCUUUGAGGGCGCAGGUUCAAAUCCUGCUGGCGUCG
This 91-nucleotide transfer RNA is filed under the name Lentinula raphanica. Its description in RNAcentral is "tRNA-Ser". It matches the Rfam family "tRNA". Rfam says of the family: Transfer RNA (tRNA) molecules are approximately 80 nucleotides in length. Their secondary structure includes four short double-helical elements and three loops (D, anti-codon, and T loops). Further hydrogen bonds mediate the characteristic L-shaped molecular structure. tRNAs have two regions of fundamental functional importance: the anti-codon, which is responsible for specific mRNA codon recognition, and the 3' end, to which the tRNAs corresponding amino acid is attached (by aminoacyl-tRNA synthetases). tRNAs cope with the degeneracy of the genetic code in two manners: having more than one tRNA (with a specific anti-codon) for a particular amino acid; and 'wobble' base-pairing, i.e. permitting non-standard base-pairing at the 3rd anti-codon position. Lineage: Eukaryota; Fungi; Basidiomycota; Agaricomycetes; Agaricales; Omphalotaceae. The record is from RNAcentral.